This is a long non-coding RNA of Portunus trituberculatus (swimming crab), 1487 nucleotides long. RefSeq lists it as uncharacterized. Lineage: Eukaryota; Metazoa; Arthropoda; Malacostraca; Decapoda; Portunidae. The transcript has 6 exons. The record is from RefSeq and is a predicted model, not a curated record.
CACUCGCUUUAAUUUCUCUAUUUUGUCUCACAGGGCUUGGAGAAACUGAGAGAGGAAUUGGUGAAAGAGAGAGAGAGAGAGAUGGAGGAGAGGAUCGCCAUCAUGAGGGAGGAGGAGCGGAGGAGACUGGAGGAGGAGAAGCAGAUGGAGUUUGCUGAGACUGCCCGAGCUUUGACACAAGACAAGGAGAGAGUUAUCGAGGAUUUAAAGAUACGAAUUGAGCUUCUUACGGAUGAGUGUGACAAGAGAAGAAGAGGAGGAGGAGGAGGAGGAGGAGGAGGAGGAGGAGGAAGAGGAGGAGCUGGCAGAGGAAGGAAGAAGAAGAGGAGCAGGAGGAGGAGGAGGAGGAGGAGGUGAAAUUGUCAAGGAGAAUGCUGAUUUAAAGACGCAAAUCAACGCGCUUCAAAAACAGGUCAAGAAUUUGGAAACGGAAUUAACAAGGGCAAAACGGUUUUCAUUCGUAACACAGCAAACUACCACAGCCGCCGCCGCCACAGCCACAGCCACAGCCCCCGCCGCCACAGCUACAGCCCCCACAGCCACAGCCGCUGCGGAUAUGACCACCUCCACAGCGUCUGCCACUUUGAGUGAAGAAAGUUUGCCCCACCGCGCAAGCCAGUCCCGGGGUCUCAUCACCUUCACAACAUGCCAAGCUGGGGAUACAGUACUUGUAGUUUGGGACUCUCUCCACGGCCACUACAAGGUGCUGUUAGAAGGAAUCGCGUCACAGCAUCUGCAUUUCUUCAUUCCGAUGCCUACAGCUUGCUUGGACUUAGCAAAGACAAUCCCACAAUGAAGAUGUAUUUGCCUGCUGAAGUUAUUAGCAAGGAAUUCUGCCAAGCCAAAAAGGACGACAACAGGUUCAGAGUUCCCAAAGGCACAAGAUUUUAUAGAGUAGUAGCGAAGCCAUCAGUUAUAGACGCUACUACUACUACUACUACUACUACUGCUACUACUACUACUAGUGCUGCUACUACUACUACUGCUGCUGCUGCUGAUGUUACUACUACUACUACUACUACUGCUUAGGUUAAAAUUGUAGUUAUUAUUGUUAUUAUUAUUAUUAUUAUUAUUAUUAUUAUUAAAGGGAAUUUUUUGUGGUAUUUUGAACGGUAUGUAAAAAAUAUAUCGGUUUUGAGCGGUAUUUGGGAGUUUUCGGUAUUUUGAACGGUAAUAUAUGAAAAAUCUCGGUUUUGAGCGAUAUUUGGAAAUGUUCGGUAUUUUUCAGCGGUAAUAUUUGGAAAUGUUUGGUAUUUUGAACGUUGAUAUAUGGAAAAUUGCGGUUUUGAGCGGUAAUAUUUGGGAGUAUUCGGUAUUUUGAACGGUAAUAUAUGAAAGAUCGCGGUUUUGAGCGAUAUUUGGAAAUGUUCGGUAUUUUUCAGCGGUAAUAUUUGGAAAUGUUCGGUAUUUUGAACGUUGAUAUAUGGAAAAUCUCGGUUUUGAGCGGUAAUAUUUGGGAGUAUUCGGUAUUUUGAACGGUAAUAUAU